Molecule: ribosomal RNA, 508 nt
Filed under: uncultured bacterium
Lineage: Bacteria
Description: bacterial SSU rRNA
Rfam family: Bacterial small subunit ribosomal RNA
Source: RNAcentral
CGAACGCUGGCGGCGUGCUUAACACAUGCAAGUCGAACGCGAAAGGGACUUCGGUCCUGAGUAAAGUGGCGCACGGGUGAGUAACGCGUAGAUAACCUGUCUUCAUGUCUGGAAUAAUACGCCAAAGGGGGUACUAAUACCGGAUAUUCUUGCUUUUCAUAAGUUAUGCAAGCAAAGGUGGCCUCUGCAUAUGCUACUGCAUGAAGAGGGGUCUGCGUACCAUUAGCUAGUAGGUGGGGUAAUGGCCUACCUAGGCGACGAUGGUUAGCGGGUCUGAGAGGAUGAUCCGCCACACUGGCACUGGAACACGGGCCAGACUCCUACGGGAGGCAGCAGUGAGGAAUAUUGCGCAAUGGGGGAAACCCUGACGCAGCGACGCCGCGUGAGUGAGGAAGGCCUUCGGGUCGUAAAGCUCUGUCAAGAGGAAAGAAGUGUACAAUGGCUAAUACCUGUUGUAUUUGACGGUACCUCUAAAGGAAGCACCGGCUAACUCCGUGCCAGCCGCCGC